RNAcentral lists this ribosomal RNA (254 nucleotides) under uncultured bacterium. Its description in RNAcentral is "partial 16S ribosomal RNA". It matches the Rfam family "Bacterial small subunit ribosomal RNA", at positions 524 to 776 of the family's 1533-position model. The record is from RNAcentral.
UACGUAGGGGGCAAGCGUUAUCCGGAUUUACUGGGUGUAAAGGGAGCGUAGGUGGCAUGGCAAGCCAGAAGUGAAAACCCGGGGCUUAACCCCGCGGAUUGCUUUUGGAACUGUCAGGCUGGAGUGCAGGAGGGGCAGGCGGAAUUCCUGGUGUAGCGGUGAAAUGCGUAGAUAUCAGGAGGAACACCGGUGGCGAAGGCGGCCUGCUGGACUGUAACUGACACUGAGGCUCGAAAACGUGGGGAGCAAACAGG